Molecule: unclassified non-coding RNA, 236 nt
Filed under: Cladorrhinum foecundissimum
Lineage: Eukaryota; Fungi; Ascomycota; Sordariomycetes; Sordariales; Podosporaceae
Also listed under: 1 other name
Description: partial internal transcribed spacer region
Rfam family: Eukaryotic small subunit ribosomal RNA (bases 1-46)
Source: RNAcentral
AAGUCGUAACAAGGUCUCCGUUGGUGAACCAGCGGAGGGAUCAUUACAGAGUUGCAAAACUCCCCAAACCAUCGCGAACCCACCCCUACACAGUUGCUUCGGCGGCGCCCGAAGGCCCUCAGCGGCCGGAGUGCCCGCCGGGGACCCCCCCGAACUCUUGUUUUUAAACAAAAUGGCCUCUCUGAGUACUGUACUGUAAUAAGUCAAAACUUUCAACAACGGAUCUCUUGGUUCUG